GGAUCAUCUGCUGUGGGUGUUCCUGAUCUUUGAGCCAUGAUAAUGUUACUGGUUGGAUGUCAGGAGCAGGCCAUGUGGAUGAUUAAAAGAUGAAUAUCAUAUACAGCAUGGAUAUGUUGGACAAAAAGAUGAUUCACAUCCCAGACAGAAUGGAGCAGAUGCAGCUGGAGAGCCUGGGGUGAGAACAUGAGCAGUCUAUAAUCAGAAAAUCCCUUUGGGAUAAAUUGACAAAAAUAUAAACCACUCCACAAAGGAGAAAUUGUAAAUGUUGUUCUUCCAGAUGGCAUGAAUCCAACAGUGAAGAAAUCAGAAUACGUUGCUUUUGUGAGGGGCAGCUGCUGAUUUUCUCUGAGCUCCGUUUCCAGCCUUCACAUGCUCUGCUAUUCAUCACAGGGUAAAUUCUGACUAUAGGAGGUACUGACAGAAGAUUAGGGAAGAACAGAGGGCUAAAUGUUUAUUGACUUCUUGAAAAAUGCUAUGUGUCUUGCCAGACUUAGCUUACAAGUUUGGUUAAAGAGAGACUGACAUGAGCAUAAAGGAAGGGACAUUGAAAGAGGCAGAGAUGAAGGAAGAAAUUGUAACUUACUCCUUUUAUCCCACCCAUCAAAGGAAAGACAAGUUGACAUUCCCAGGGUGGAUGGAUCCAGGCAGGACAGGAUCAGAAGUUGCAGUCUUAAUUGCACCAACUCACGCAUGUCACCAGCCGAGUAGUAUUGAUUCUGCAACAAACUGAGAAGAAACCUGGCGAUUCACAACAGAGAGCUGAGAAAUCCUAAGUCUGGAUUCCAGCUAAAUGGGAGCAGACUAAAUAGAGCGGCAGUCGGCGAACUACAUGUAGCCCAUGAACAAAAUCCGGUCCAGCACGUGUGUUUUUUUUUACGGCCCACAAAUGAGUCUGUCUUUACAGAUGAAUGUUAAAACUGGGUUGACAAGAGAGAACACUCACUUUGAACCGCAACUAAACAAAAUAUUAUCACCUUUCCCCUCAAAAAAGGUUUUUGUUCUUCUCAUUAGUAAAUUUGUAUUAUGACAAAA
Molecule: long non-coding RNA, 1035 nt
Filed under: Homo sapiens (human)
Lineage: Eukaryota; Metazoa; Chordata; Mammalia; Primates; Hominidae
Description: long intergenic non-protein coding RNA 2492
Source: RNAcentral